RNAcentral lists this transfer RNA (64 nucleotides) under Virpazaria ripkeni. Its description in RNAcentral is "tRNA-Gln". Lineage: Eukaryota; Metazoa; Mollusca; Gastropoda; Stylommatophora; Spelaeodiscidae. The record is from RNAcentral.
UUUUCUUUGGUGUUGAGCACAGAAAAGUUUGAAGUUUCAGGAAAAUGACUAUUUAAGAAAAACC